Long non-coding RNA from Oncorhynchus tshawytscha (Chinook salmon), 1368 nucleotides. The record is from Ensembl. Lineage: Eukaryota; Metazoa; Chordata; Actinopteri; Salmoniformes; Salmonidae.
GGUGAGUAAGUAAGAGGAGGAGGAGAAGGAAGAGGUGAAGUUGGACGGGCAGAAGGAGACGACGGGGAAGAGGAAGGGAAGUCAGGAACACAAUAACUGAUGAAAUCAGAGCGACUGUGGUUGACCAAGUUGUCAGCCAUGGGAUGAGCAUGAGGGAGGCUGGGCAAUGGGUUCAACCAAAUCUGAGCCGCUAUACUGUUGCAGGUAUCACCCAGAUAUUUUGAAAUGAGAACCGGUAAGUAACUAAGUGCUGUAGUUCUACUGGUACAGUAAUAUGUACUGUACUUUCAUAAUGAGAAGGAUCUAUCACUAAAACCAUUCAAAUGUUUUACAGAACUGCAAGAAAACCAGUAUCUGGAAGGAAGAGGUCGACAGAGCAGGAGACCCACGUUGUAAAGAUGGUCAUUGCAAAUAACUGCAUCAGACUAAGAGAGCUACAGUACCCCAUAAUGGCAGAUAACACAAUAUUCCAAAACGUCAACAGAGUGAGUCUCGCUGCACUGUCUCGUCUACUGAAACGCAAUAGAAUUAGGAUGAAGCAGCUGUACAGAGUCCCUUUCGAAAGAAACUCAGACCGUGUAAAUCAACUGAGAUAUGAAUAUGUGCAGAGAGUCAUGGAGCUAGAAGCAGAUGCAGUGCAUCAUGAGCUAAUAUAUGUGGACGAGGCAGGUUCAACCUUGCAAAAACAAGGGGCCGCGGCAGAAAUAUCAUCGGACACCGCGCCAUCAUUAACGUCCCGGGACAACUUGGUGGCAACAACAAUGUGUACAGCUAUUAGUCAAAACGGCGUCCUUCACCAUCAUGCAAUCCUAGGCCCAUACAACACCGCACACAUUAUCACAUUUCUGGACACUCUCCACAACAGACUAAUCCCUGAUGACCAGGGGCCAGAGCAGCCCAGGUACGUUAUCAAAAAACUAUUCUGUUCUUUUUCUUCUUCUAGCACAAAUGUUUUUGUUUUCUUAUACUGCACUUUUGUUGUUUGAGUGUUUUGAGAAGAAGAAAAAAAAAUGUUUUCUACUUAUUUGUAUUGAUAGUGCGUUAUGUUCGGAACACACAUCCAUACUUUACACAUUUGGAUACCUGUGUGUAUGUGUGUUUACUACAUGUAUGACAAUGUACUUUAUUGGAAACUGCUAUGCCCUGCAGACUGAAAAAGCAUAAAGCUUGAAAAGUGUUUUUCAUUUAUACUAUCAGUGCGUAGUUGGUGCUUCGUGUGCUUAUUCAAAUGAGGGUUUGUGUGUACUGUAUUGACACAAAAACAAGAAAUAAGGUUUUGUGGUUAGUGUGUAGAGUUUUGAAAAAAUAGCCUAUAGUUUCAAAGAUAGUGCCUAAGCAAUCAGAAUAAACUGUAAAUCAAACCAUGGG